CGUACGGUGCUCACUUAAAAAAUGCUCGCAGCCGGGUGGGUGUGCGGGACAGGGCUGAGAACACCGGGCUGGGGCCGGGGUUGGUGACCCCGAGGCCGUGCCGGUGGGGUGCUGCUGGGAGGGGGCCUGCCGUCCCCUUCGCUGGGCCACCUCGGAGCUGGGUGAGGGAUGAACGGGUGAUUUUUAGCUGGCAGUGGGCUGUUUGCGUGCUCGUACCUGGUGCUUGGUGUAAGGCAGGAGCUGGGAAGUGCUGCACAUGUGAAAGGUGCGUGUGCUGGGCACCUGUAUGGAGCGUGUGGGAAGGGGGAGAGGGCAGGACAGCAAGAGGGAGGGUCGCGCUGCUCUCGCUGUAGGAAAACACAGCGAUCCUGGUAACUUUGUUGCAAAGUUUUGGAGGGGCUCGCCUGGCUACUUCCGAGUUAAUUCAUUCAGUGGUAACAGUGUUGUGGAAACAGUUAAGCGCAAGGCAAAAGAAGCGGAGGAGGAUUUGUCACCGGCUGUUCUCUAAUCGGGGGCAGCGGGCAGUCAGGGAGCCCGGAGCGGCCCGCACUCAGCGGCCGGGCUGGGAGCCGAGCCGAGGGCAGGAGCACAGCCCGGCCGACAGCGGGGCCGGGCCGGGCCGCUCGGAGCAGGGACUGCGGGCCGCACCGCACCGGGCCGAGCCUCCAGGGCCCGCAGGGAGCGCGGCUCGAGCCCGGCGGCCCGACGCGGCCCGACCGAAAGGGAAGCGGGGUCGUGGGCCGGCGAGGGGCCGGCGGCCGCGGGGCCACCCCGGUGCCGCAGAGGGUUAACGCGGGCGGCGGCGGGCAGCUGGGAGUUGUAGGCGCCGCGGCAUGCCGGGAGCUGUCGUAAACGCCGCCGCCGCGCCCCGCCACCGCCAUGGCGGCCGCCUCGGUGCUGCCGGGCCCAGGCCCGUUGUACGGGGAGCGGCGGGGUUACGCUUCUGCGGUCGGAUCGGAUCGGAACGAGACGGGCCUGGCUGGGGUGGCGGGUCGCCUCGGUGCUCGCAGUUGGGCCACCUUCCGUGUGAUGAAGCAAUGCAGCUAAGCUGUAUGUUGCCUUAUGCUUGCAACACUGCAACCCCGAGGAAGAUUGCAUCUGCAGAGAUCUGCCUUCAUGCUUGGACUGAUAAGCGACGCUGGGGAAGCAUCUUGGCAAGUGAGUCCCGCUCCCUGCCUGUGACUCAUCCUUGUCUAAAUGCAGCCUGCGAGCUCUCGGAGGACUGCCUUUCUCUCUGAGCAGAGCAACAUAAAAAAUAGCAACGCUGUUGAAUAACCGAUGCUGCUGCAGUAUCCUGUCUCCUCAUUGCAUCGCCCUCUGGAAGACAGAAGUGAUGAUCAGCAGCGUGGUGUUGUCCUGCAGGCAGUUGAAGAACCACUUUGACAGCUAACAGGAGGACAACUAUGCAGUGUAAUCACAGCCUGUCUGUGCUCUUUCUGACAAUGUACAGUAGCACCCUAUUCCCAGUGAGGGGAUGCUGUAACCUCCCUCAGAUGAUCUGUAUUCUUCUCUGUUACUGUAACCAAGCUGUUCCUUUCUCACAGCCACGCAUUCCUGCAGAAAUACCAAGGAUUCCCUGUGCAGAUUAAGUAAGGUUUACAAACUCAGGAACUCCAAAAGGGAGAAUGAAGUAAUUCCAGAUCAUUUGCACUAUGGCUGAUACAGUUAGCAGGAGGGCUAAUUUGAUGUGUGUGGGUCUGCUGUGGGAGAGAAGGAAACCUGGGAACAAUCUGUCUCCUGUUAGACCUGCUGUAAGUGCUGUGUGAUAAGGGUGUAUUGCCAAACUUAGCCAUAAAGCUGCAGGUUAGGCAGCAGGAUGGGGCUUGCCCCGGUUCCUGCUUGCAGCUGCAUGGAAGCUGUGCCUUGGAUCCCACAGGGUUUUAAUCCCACUGCAGACUAUGGCUGUUCACAAGGUCACAAACGCAGACCUUUGUUUUCUAUUGAUUAUAUGGUUUUGAGUGGAAGAAUUGUUUUUUAUCUAUUUAUUUUGAUAUUUACAUAUGUAUUUAUUUCUUUAAUAAAUCAAUGAAACGAAUCA
This is a long non-coding RNA of Coturnix japonica (Japanese quail), 2038 nucleotides long. The record is from Ensembl. Lineage: Eukaryota; Metazoa; Chordata; Aves; Galliformes; Phasianidae.